RNAcentral lists this ribosomal RNA (253 nucleotides) under uncultured bacterium. RNAcentral's name for it is "partial 16S ribosomal RNA". It matches the Rfam family "Bacterial small subunit ribosomal RNA", at positions 524 to 776 of the family's 1533-position model. The record is from RNAcentral.
GACGAACCGUGCGAACGUUGUUCGGAAUCACUGGGCUUAAAGGGUGCGUAGGCGGGUUGUCCAUGCUGGGGUGAAAUCCCACGGCUCAACCGUGGAACUGCCUCCGAUACUGACGACCUCGAGGGAGGUAGGGGCGAGCGGAACUGUGGGUGGAGCGGUGAAAUGCGUUGAUAUCCACAGGAACUCCGGUGGCGAAGGCGGCUCGCUGGACCUCUUCUGACGCUGAAGCACGAAAGCUAGGGGAGCAAACGGG